GUAGAAGGAGGCCUACAAUCCACCCCUGGUGCUGUGGAAAUGUCCACCCUCUACGUGCGGGUUGAAGGAAGCAAUCUGGAGACCAUCCAGCCACCACAGCCCAUACCCGGCUCCAGUGAUCCUCCGGCCGAGGAGGAAGAUGACGAGACCCUCACGGCCAAAUCCGACACCCACAUGCAGGUUGAAAGACUCUACCACUGC
This is a long non-coding RNA of Neoarius graeffei (lesser salmon catfish), 201 nucleotides long. RefSeq lists it as uncharacterized. Lineage: Eukaryota; Metazoa; Chordata; Actinopteri; Siluriformes; Ariidae. The record is from RefSeq and is a predicted model, not a curated record. The transcript has 3 exons.